RNAcentral lists this ribosomal RNA (29 nucleotides) under Ustilago coicis. RNAcentral describes it as "partial 18S ribosomal RNA". Lineage: Eukaryota; Fungi; Basidiomycota; Ustilaginomycetes; Ustilaginales; Ustilaginaceae. The record is from RNAcentral.
CCGUAGGUGAACCUGCGGCUGGAUCAUUU